Molecule: ribosomal RNA, 112 nt
Filed under: Caerostris darwini
Lineage: Eukaryota; Metazoa; Arthropoda; Arachnida; Araneae; Araneidae
Source: RNAcentral
AACGGCCGUACCAUGCUGAAUAUACCGGUUCUCGUUAGAUCACCGAAGUUAAGCAUCAUUGGGCGCGGUCGGUACUUGGGUGGGUGACCACCUGGGAACACUGCGUGCCGUU